RNAcentral lists this ribosomal RNA (253 nucleotides) under uncultured bacterium. RNAcentral describes it as "partial 16S ribosomal RNA". It matches the Rfam family "Bacterial small subunit ribosomal RNA", at positions 524 to 776 of the family's 1533-position model. The record is from RNAcentral.
UACAGAGGUGGCAAGCGUUGUUCGGAAUUACUGGGCGUAAAGGGCGAGUAGGUGGCCAUCUAAGUCAGACGUGAAAUCCCCCGGCUUAACCUGGGAACUGCGUCUGAUACUGGACGGCUAGAGUAUGGGAGAGGGAUGUAGAAUUCCAGGUGUAGCGGUGAAAUGCGUAGAUAUCAGGAGGAACACCGGUGGCGAAGGCGGGUCUCUGGGCCGAUACUGACGCUGAGGAGCGAAAGCGUGGGGAGCGAACAGG